GUUACAAUAUAUAAACGUAUAGAGAGAGACCUUCUAAAAAACGUUAAAAUGUAGUAUUGGCACGUGAAACCUUAAAUUAAAGUGAAUAAAUGAAGACUCGGCACACCAAUUCUAAAAGGUUGUCGACCCCUGAUGUAGCGCUUGAUAGGAAAUGAGAGAUGAUAAAUAGGUUGGUGAUUGACUGUGAAGGUACUUGAAAGUGAAUACAAGCAUUUUGUGUUUGACAUGAGAGAGAGAAGAAGGAGCUUGUGGAAGGAUUCAAAAAGAGGGGUGACAAGAUAAAAGCAAUGAGCUAAGAAAGUGAAUACAAGCAGUUUCUGUUUGAUGUGAGAGAGAAGGAGGUGCCUGGGGAGGCAUUCAAAGUGAGGAGUGACAAUGUCAAAGCAACAAGCUAAGAAAGUUAUCUUUGCACCAGCAUUCUGAAUGGAUAUGCACAGGGCAAGACUGCAAGGCCAAAGAGAACAAUAUUGUAGUAGCUGAUAUAUGAAAUGAUGAGAGUUUGAAUGAGAAUUUUAGUUGUACAAAUGGUUAAGAAAGGCCACAUCUUAGAUGUUAUAAAGAAAGAAUUGGCAAGAUUUACGUAUAAAAUGAGGAGCUAUAGAGAGGUCCAAAUUGCAGAUGACACCUUGUAUCAAUAUUUGUCUGGAGAAAGGGAAAUGAGCAGUUUCAAUAAGAACAGUUGUCAAAAUUAGUAGAUUACAGUUUUGCUAGUUUAUUUUCUGAUUAUUAAUAUUCUAAGACUAUUGGCUAGCCACAUACUUACCCUGGUUAAACUUAAUGCACUAUUACCACAUCCAACUAUUCAUUUGGAAGUAACUUAUAUUUCAUUUAUUUUCUGAAACUUUUCAUCACAUAUGCACUAUAUACUAUACUGUACUGAAACGAAGAUCCCAUUUGUUCCUUAGCUGAACAUGCAACAGUCAGACACUAGAUGGUGCCAAGAGACCAUCUGGAAAAGACAAAAUGAAAUCUGAGUGCAGGAACUCCUAAUCAAGAUUAGAAAGGGUCUGAGAAACAAACAAUCACAAAGGGCCCAAUUCUGAUUUCAUCAGGAUUAUUCACAGAGUAAGAUAUACAAAUGUUUUAUUUAUUAAAGUAUUUGGGACCAACCAACAAAAUUUCCCUUAGAGGAAUGAGAGAACAAGUUGCAU
This is a long non-coding RNA of Dermochelys coriacea (leatherback sea turtle), 1151 nucleotides long. RefSeq lists it as uncharacterized. The transcript has 2 exons. Lineage: Eukaryota; Metazoa; Chordata; Testudines; Dermochelyidae. The record is from RefSeq and is a predicted model, not a curated record.